Molecule: long non-coding RNA, 1153 nt
Filed under: Malus domestica (apple)
Lineage: Eukaryota; Viridiplantae; Streptophyta; Magnoliopsida; Rosales; Rosaceae
Description: long non-coding RNA (MDOM_LNC012247)
Source: RNAcentral
AAUUUUGCUUCCACACUGUUGAGCAAGAGAUUGUGAUGCAAACCACACUUUGUAGUAGUCGAAGGUUUGGAUGAACCAUAUAAAUUGAAUUUGCUUCGAACAGUCUUGAUCAAGAGUGUGUGAAGCUUUCUGCGAGUUGUAGUUGCCCUUCAUUGAUGAAGCUUUUGUUGGCACCAUAAAUUGGUUUUGCUUCACACUAUCUUGAUCAAGAAUGUGUGAAACUUUUGAGAAUUGUGGUUGAACUCCUUUGAUGAGGCUUUUGUUGGCACUAUAAAUUGGUUUUGCUUCACACUGUCUUGAACAAGUGUGUGAAGCUUUUGAGAAUUGUGGUUGCCCUCCAUUGAUGAAGCUCCUGUUGGCACCAUAAAUUGGUUUUGCUUCACACUGUCUUCAUCAAAAGUGUGUGAAGCUUUUGAGAAUUGUGAUUGCCCUCUAUUGAUGAAGCUCUUGUUGGCACCAUAAAUUGGUUUUACUUCACACUGUCUUCAUCAAGAGUGUGUGAAGCUUUUGAGAAUUAUGGUUGCCCUCCAUUAGCUCUUGUUGCCACCAUAAAUUGGUUUUGCUUCACACUGUCUCGAUCAAGAGUGUGUGAAGCUUUUGAGAAUUGUGGUUAUCCUCUAUUGAUGAAGCUCUUGUUGGCACCAUAAAUUAAUUUUGCUUCACACUGUCUUCAUCAAGAGUGUGUGAAGCUUUUGAGAAUUGUGGUUGUCCUCUAUUGAUGAAGCUCUCUUGUUGGCACCAUAAAUUGGUUUUGCUUCACAUUGUCUUCAUCAAGAGUGUGUGAAGCUUUUGAGAAUUAUGGUUGCCCUCUAUUGAUAAAGCUCUUGUUAGCACCAUAAAUUGGUUUUGCUUCACACUGUCUUCAUCAAGAAUGUGUGAAGCUUUUGAGAAUUGUGGUUGCCCUUUAUUGAUGAAGCUCUUGUUGGCACCAUAAAUUGGUUUUGCUUCACACUGUCUUGAUCAAGAGUGUGUGAAGCUUUUGAGAAUUGGGGUUGCCCUCCUUUGAUGAAGCUCUUGUUGGCACCAUAAAUUGGCUUUGCUUCACACUGUCUUGAUCAAGAGUGUGUAAAGCUUUUGAGAAUUGUGGUUGCCUUCCAUUGAUGAAGCUCUUGUUGGCACCAUAAAUUGGUUUUGCUUCACACUGUUUUGAUCA